GAAGGUGGGCAAGCGUUGUUCGGAAUCAUUGGGCUUAAAGCGCACGUAGGCGGACUGGAAAGUGUCUUGUGAAAACCCACGGCUUAACCGUGGAAUUGCUUGGCAAACUAUCAGUCUUGAGGCAAGUAGGGGUACAUGGAACUCUUAGUGGAGCGGUGGAAUGCGUAGAUAUUAAGAGGAACGCCAAUGGUGAAGACAGUGUACUGGGCUUGUACUGACGCUGAGGUGCGAAAGCGUGGGGAGCGAACGGGAUUAGAUACCCCGGUAGUCCACGCCGUAAACGAUGUCUACUAGAUCGUGGGAGUUCUGACACUUUCACGGUCGAAGCAAAAGUGUUAAGUAGACCGCCUGGGGAGUACGGUCGCAAGGCUA
This 372-nucleotide ribosomal RNA is filed under the name uncultured organism. Its description in RNAcentral is "partial 16S ribosomal RNA". It matches the Rfam family "Bacterial small subunit ribosomal RNA", at positions 526 to 896 of the family's 1533-position model. The record is from RNAcentral.